AACGAACGCUGGCGGCAUGCCUAACACAUGCAAGUCGAACGAGAUCUUCGGGUCUAGUGGCGCACGGGUGCGUAACGCGUGGGAAUCUGCCCUUUGGUUCGGAAUAACAGUUGGAAACGACUGCUAAUACCGGAUGAUGACGAAAGUCCAAAGAUUUAUCGCCAGAGGAUGAGCCCGCGUAGGAUUAGCUAGUUGGUGUGGCAAAGGCGCACCAAGGCGACGAUCCUUAGCUGGUCUGAGAGGAUGAUCAGCCACACUGGGACUGAGACACGGCCCAGACUCCUACGGGAGGCAGCAGUGGGGAAUAUUGGACAAUGGGCGAAAGCCUGAUCCAGCAAUGCCGCGUGAGUGAUGAAGGCCUUAGGGUUGUAAAGCUCUUUUACCCUGGAUGAUGAUGACAGUACCGAGAGAAUAAGCUCCAGCUAACUCCGUGCCAGCCGCCGCUGUAA
Molecule: ribosomal RNA, 449 nt
Filed under: uncultured bacterium
Lineage: Bacteria
Description: partial 16S ribosomal RNA
Rfam family: Bacterial small subunit ribosomal RNA
Source: RNAcentral